This 253-nucleotide ribosomal RNA is filed under the name uncultured bacterium. Its description in RNAcentral is "partial 16S ribosomal RNA". It matches the Rfam family "Bacterial small subunit ribosomal RNA", at positions 524 to 776 of the family's 1533-position model. The record is from RNAcentral.
GACAGAGGGGGCAAGCGUUGCUCGGAAUCACUGGGCGUAAAGGGCACGUAGGCGGGACGCCAAGUCGGUCGUGAAAUCUCCGGGCUCAACCCGGAGGAGUCGGCCGAAACUGGUGUUCUUGAGGGAGGCAGAGGAGUCUGGAAUUCCCGGUGUAGCGGUGAAAUGUGUAGAGAUCGGGAGGAACACCGGUGGCGAAGGCGGGACUCUGGGCCUACCCUGACGCUGAGGCGCGAAGGCGUGGGGAGCAAACGGG